AACGAACGCUGGCGGCAUGCCUAACACAUGCAAGUCGAACGAGACCUUCGGGUCUUGUGGCGCACGGGUGCGUAACGCGUGGGAACCUGCCCUUAGGUUCGGAAUAACUCCCCGAAAGGGGUGCUAAUACCGGAUAAUGUCUUCGGACCAAAGAUUUAUCGCCUCUGGAUGGGCCCGCGUUGGAUUAGCUAGUUGGUAGGGUAAAAGCCUACCAAGGCGACGAUCCAUAGCUGGUCUGAGAGGAUGAUCAGCCACACUGGGACUGAGACACGGCCCAGACUCCUACGGGAGGGAGCAGUGGGGAAUAUUGGACAAUGGGCGGAGGCCUGAUCCAGCAAUGCCGGGUGAGUGAUGAAGGCCGUAGGGUUGUAAAGCUCUUUUACCCGGGAUGAUAAUGACAGUACCGGGAGAAUAAGCUCCGGCUAACUCCGUG
Molecule: ribosomal RNA, 433 nt
Filed under: uncultured bacterium
Lineage: Bacteria
Description: partial 16S ribosomal RNA
Rfam family: Bacterial small subunit ribosomal RNA
Source: RNAcentral